UGUAAGAGCGAGCUUGCUCGCGAUAGGCCGCAGGCCGGUUUUGGCCCCGAUGCCGCUAUCGCGAGCAAGCUCGCUCCUACA
RNAcentral lists this unclassified non-coding RNA (81 nucleotides) under Pseudomonas sp. NFPP07. Lineage: Bacteria; Pseudomonadati; Pseudomonadota; Gammaproteobacteria; Pseudomonadales; Pseudomonadaceae. The record is from RNAcentral.